UACGAAGGGGGCUAGCGUUGCUCGGAAUCACUGGGCGUAAAGGGCGCGUAGGCGGCCGUUCAAGUCGGGGGUGAAAGCCUGUGGCUCAACCACAGAAUUGCCUUCGAUACUGUACGGCUCGAGACCGGAAGAGGUGAGUGGAACUGCGAGUGUAGAGGUGAAAUUCGUAGAUAUUCGCAAGAACACCAGUGGCGAAGGCGGCUCACUGGUCCGGUACUGACGCUGAGGUGCGAAAGCGUGGGGAGCAAACAGG
This 253-nucleotide ribosomal RNA is filed under the name uncultured bacterium. Its description in RNAcentral is "partial 16S ribosomal RNA". It matches the Rfam family "Bacterial small subunit ribosomal RNA", at positions 524 to 776 of the family's 1533-position model. The record is from RNAcentral.